CGUGACAAGCACCAAAGAAAAAAGUAACAUUAAUGAGUUUCUGCUCAGCCGGACGCAAAUGUCACCGACCCGUCAGCUGCUGCUCCACAUGCAGGCGUCAGAGCGCUGGGCGGUGCGGCGACGCGUUCAAGGACUUUUAUUCUGACUUAUUCCCUUCCACACGCACCACGGUCAGUGCUGAAUAUUUCCCCCGGCAGCCGGGGGGCGCUCCAUGCUGCAGCUGGUGGUGGUGGGGGGGAGGCCUGUUUUUUUAAAAAAACGUUUGUUUUUUAAUGGAAUAAGUGUCUAAUAAAGUAUUUUUUUGC
Molecule: long non-coding RNA, 305 nt
Organism: Salarias fasciatus (jewelled blenny)
Lineage: Eukaryota; Metazoa; Chordata; Actinopteri; Blenniiformes; Blenniidae
Exons: 4
Source: RefSeq, a predicted model, not a curated record